CCUACGGGAGGCAGCAGUGAGGAAUAUUGGUCAAUGGACGAGAGUCUGAACCAGCCAAGUAGCGUGAAGGAUGACUGCCCUAUGGGUUGUAAACUUCUUUUAUAUGGGACUAAAAUGUUCCACGUGUGGGAUUUUGUAUGUACCCUAUGAAUAAGGAUCGGCUAACUCCGUGCCAGCAGCCGCGGUAAUACGGAGGAUCCGAGCGUUAUCCGGAUUUAUUGGGUUUAAAGGGAGCGUAGGUGGAUUGUUAAGUCAGUUGUGAAAGUUUGCGGAUCAACCGUAAAAUUGCAGUUGAAACUGGCAGUCUUGAGUACAGUAGAGGUGGGCGGAAUUCGUGGUGUAGCGGUGAAAUGCUUAGAUAUCACGAAGAACUCCGAUUGCGAAGGCAGUUCACUGGACUGCAACUGACACUGAGGCUCGAAAGUGUGGGUAUCAAACAGGAUUAGAUACCCUAGUAGUC
RNAcentral lists this ribosomal RNA (460 nucleotides) under uncultured bacterium. Its description in RNAcentral is "partial 16S ribosomal RNA". It matches the Rfam family "Bacterial small subunit ribosomal RNA", at positions 338 to 795 of the family's 1533-position model. The record is from RNAcentral.